UGUGGCUGGGGGUGAAAGGCCAAUCAAACCGGGAGAUAGCUGGUUCUCCCCGAAAGCUAUUUAGGUAGCGCCUCGUGAACUCAUCUUCGGGGGUAGAGCACUGUUUCGGCUAGGGGGUCAUCCCGACUUACCAACCCGAUGCAAACUGCGAAUACCGAAGAAUGUUAUCACGGGAGACACACGGCGGGUGCUAACGUCCGUCGUGAAGAGGGAAACAACCCAGACCGCCAGCUAAGGUCCCAAAGUCACAGUUAAGUGGGAAACGAUGUGGGAAGGCUCAGACAGCCAGGAUGUUGGCUUAGAAGCAGCCAUCAUUUAAAGAAAGCGUAAUAGCUCACUGGUCGAGUCGGCCUGCGCGGAAGAUGUAACGGGGCUAAACUGUGCACCGAAGCUGCGGCAGCGACGCUUAUGCGUUGUUGGGUAGGGGAGCGUUCUGUAAGCCUGCGAAGGUGUCCUGUGAGGGAUGCUGGAGGUAUCAGAAGUGCGAAUGCUGACAUAAGUAACGAUAAUGCGGGUGAAAAGCCCGCUCGCCGGAAGACCAAGGGUUCCUGUCCAACGUUAAUCGGGGCAGGGUGAGUCGACCCCUAAGGCGAGGCCGAAAGGCGUAGUCGAUGGGAAACGGGUUAAUAUUCCCGUACUUGGUGUUACUGCGAAGGGGGGACGGAGAAGGCUAUGUUGGCCGGGCGACGGUUGUCCCGGUUUAAGCGUGUAGGCUGGUUUUCCAGGCAAAUCCGGAAAAUCAAG
RNAcentral lists this ribosomal RNA (744 nucleotides) under Salmonella enterica. RNAcentral's name for it is "partial 23S ribosomal RNA". It matches the Rfam family "Bacterial large subunit ribosomal RNA", at positions 810 to 1554 of the family's 2925-position model. RNAcentral also lists the same sequence under 1 other name. The record is from RNAcentral. Lineage: Bacteria; Pseudomonadati; Pseudomonadota; Gammaproteobacteria; Enterobacterales; Enterobacteriaceae.